Molecule: ribosomal RNA, 231 nt
Filed under: uncultured bacterium
Lineage: Bacteria
Description: partial 16S ribosomal RNA
Rfam family: Bacterial small subunit ribosomal RNA
Source: RNAcentral
CGGACGGGUGAGUAAUGUCUGGGAAACUGCCUGAUGGAGGGGGAUAACUACUGGAAACGGUAGCUAAUACCGCAUAACGUCGCAAGACCAAAGAGGGGGACCUUCGGGCCUCUUGCCAUCGGAUGUGCCCAGAUGGGAUUAGCUAGUAGGUGGGGUAACGGCUCACCUAGGCGACGAUCCCUAGCUGGUCUGAGAGGAUGACCAGCCACACUGGAAUGAGACACGGUCCAG